Molecule: ribosomal RNA, 962 nt
Filed under: Acinetobacter baumannii
Lineage: Bacteria; Pseudomonadati; Pseudomonadota; Gammaproteobacteria; Moraxellales; Moraxellaceae
Description: bacterial SSU rRNA
Rfam family: Bacterial small subunit ribosomal RNA
Source: RNAcentral
GGUGAGUAAAGCUUAGGAAUCUGCCUAUUAGUGGGGGACAACAUUUCGAAAGGGAUGCUAAUACCGCAUACGUCCUACGGGAGAAAGCAGGGGAUCACUUGUGACCUUGCGCUAAUAGAUGAGCCUAAGUCGGAUUAGCUAGUUGGUGGGGUAAAGGCCUACCAAGGCGACGAUCUGUAGCGGGUCUGAGAGGAUGAUCCGCCACACUGGGACUGAGACACGGCCCAGACUCCUACGGGAGGCAGCAGUGGGGAAUAUUGGACAAUGGGGGGAACCCUGAUCCAGCCAUGCCGCGUGUGUGAAGAAGGCCUUUUGGUUGUAAAGCACUUUAAGUGGGGAGGAGGCUCUCUUGGUUAAUACCUAAGAAGAGUGGACGUUACCCACAGAAUAAGCACCGGCUAACUCUGUGCCAGCAGCCGCGGUAAUACAGAGGGUGCGAGCGUUAAUCGGAUUUACUGGGCGUAAAGCGCGCGUAGGUGGUUAAUUAAGUCAAAUGUGAAAUCCCCGAGCUUAACUUGGGAAUUGCAUUCGAUACUGGUUAGCUAGAGUAUGGGAGAGGAUGGUAGAAUUCCAGGUGUAGCGGUGAAAUGCGUAGAGAUCUGGAGGAAUACCGAUGGCGAAGGCAGCCAUCUGGCCUAAUACUGACACUGAGGUGCGAAAGCAUGGGGAGCAAACAGGAUUAGAUACCCUGGUAGUCCAUGCCGUAAACGAUGUCUACUAGCCGUUGGGGGAUUUGAUCCUUUAGUGGCGCAGCUAACGCGAUAAGUAGACCGCCUGGGGAGUACGGUCGCAAGACUAAAACUCAAAUGAAUUGACGGGGGCCCGCACAAGCGGUGGAGCAUGUGGUUUAAUUCGAUGCAACGCGAAGAACCUUACCUGGCCUUGACAUAGUAGAGACUUUCCAGAGAUGGAUUGGUGCCUUCGGGAAUCUACAUACAGGUGCUGCAUGGCUGUCGUCAGCU